Molecule: ribosomal RNA, 440 nt
Filed under: uncultured bacterium
Lineage: Bacteria
Description: partial 16S ribosomal RNA
Rfam family: Bacterial small subunit ribosomal RNA
Source: RNAcentral
CCUACGGGUGGCAGCAGUGGGGAAUAUUGCACAAUGGGGGAAACCCUGAUGCAGCGACGCCGCGUGAGUGAAGAAGUAAUUCGUUAUGUAAAGCUCUAUCAGCAGGGAAGAAAAUGACGGUACCUGAGUAAGAAGCCCCGGCUAACUACGUGCCAGCAGCCGCGGUAUUACGUAGGGGGCAAGCGUGAUCCGGAUUUACUGGGUGUAAAGGGCGCGUAGACGGCAGGGCAAGUCUGGAGUGAAAGGCGGGGGCUCAACCCCCGGACUGCUCUGGAAACUAUACGGCUGGAGUGCAGGAGAGGUAAGUGGAAUUCCUAGUGUAGCGGUGAAAUGCGUAGAUAUUAGGAGGAACCCCCGUGGCGAAGGCGGCUUACUGGACUGUAACUGACGUUGAGGCUCGAAAGCGUGGGGAGCAAACAGGAUUAGAUACCCGGGUAGUC